Molecule: ribosomal RNA, 220 nt
Filed under: uncultured bacterium
Lineage: Bacteria
Description: partial 16S ribosomal RNA
Rfam family: Bacterial small subunit ribosomal RNA
Source: RNAcentral
GCNCCCUCCGCGCCACUCAGACUCCUACCGGAGGGCAGCAGUGGGGAAUCUUGCGCAAUGCGCGAAAGCGUGGCGCAGCAACGCCGCGUGGGGGAAGACGGCCUUCGGGUUGUAAACCCCUUUCAGUUGGGACGAAGCUUCACCGGUGAAUAGCCUGUUGGAGUGACGGUACCUUCAGAAGAAGCCCCGGCUAACUACGUGCAAGCAGCCGCGGUAAUAC